This 390-nucleotide unclassified non-coding RNA is filed under the name Melitaea cinxia (Glanville fritillary). Its description in RNAcentral is "misc RNA ENSMCXG00005006414.1". The record is from RNAcentral. Lineage: Eukaryota; Metazoa; Arthropoda; Insecta; Lepidoptera; Nymphalidae.
GUUGACGUGACGUGGUUCUGUACAGUGUGCAGUUAAAUUUUCGUUGUACUUAUUCUGACACUUACUAGUCAUUUUCAACGCCGAUAAUGAGAAUCAAAGUGAGAAUGAGUGUCAUAUAACUAAAGUGUAUAAAUGAAAGCAAUAUGUAAAUAAUAGUACAAGAUGUUCCCAGAUCAAAGCAAGCGUUUGCAAACAAGUUUUAACUAAAUUUCGCAGUAGAGACAAACUGAAGUGCACUAAUUUGAAAACUAAACAAUUUUAAUGAGUGAAAAAGUGAUUAAAGCGCGUAGCCCAAAAUUAUUUAACAAAUAUAACCUCUAAAACGGCUGUGACGUCUAUAAGCAACGGCAGACGUCUAAAGGAGGCCUUGGCUGAGGAGGUGAAGGUGCU